Molecule: long non-coding RNA, 877 nt
Organism: Manacus vitellinus (golden-collared manakin)
Lineage: Eukaryota; Metazoa; Chordata; Aves; Passeriformes; Pipridae
Exons: 4
Source: RefSeq, a predicted model, not a curated record
GGUGCCAGUUUGACUGCUCAGCAGUGUCACCUCUGCCCGCCACACCCCUCCUCACCGGGGAGGGAUCUGGUAUUUAACAGGUGCCCGACAGCCCGGUUAGAGCCGUGCCAAGGACGGUGAUCAAGAGUGCUGCCAGCAUCGCCUCCUCUGGGAGCUUUUGGGCAGGUUUGCUCACAGACCACUGAAGAUGUGUGACCCCCACCACGGCAUGCCACAACCACACCAGCCAGUUUGCCCUCCUGCUCCAGGAUACCCUGGUCCUGGCACGGGUCCCUACCCUGGUGGCAUUGCAGUUUGCCCUCCUGCUCCUCCAGGAUACCCUAGUCCCGGCACAGCUCCCUGCCCUGGUGGCCCUGCAGUCUGCCCCUCGUUCCCCCCUCCACCUGGCCAUGGGCAUCACCCCCAUGGGCACCACCCCCAUGGGCACCCCUCAUGUGGCCAUAAUCCCCAUGGACACCCCCCUCCGGGACCACCAGGAGUGCAGGUGUGUCCCCCUGACUGCCAUCAGAAGCACCAUAAGAAGCACCAUAAGAAGCACCAUAAGAAGAAGCACUCCAAGCACCACGGAGGCAAGCACUCCAGUGGCUCAAGCAGCAGCUCAAGCAGCAGCUCUGACUCUGACUGAACAUUUGGCAUUUCCCACCUGCACAGUACUGAUCAGCAAAACAUGAAGCGAAACACCUUGUGGGAGUGCCGUGCCCUGCCCUGCGUGUUUUUCUGUUCCCCUUCCCUUUCCCUUACAGCAGUGUUUUGCCUGCUGACUGAUUUUCUCGGGUUUACUUUGUAAAUGAUUUGUCCUGGAAUCUCUUAAGUCACUGGACAGCAUCUCCAUCGUCUGUCUUUUGGGAGAGCCUGCUGAAAGUCAUCAUGUGCUUGU